GACGAACGCUGGCGGCGUGCUUAACACAUGCAAGUCGAACGGAAAGGCCUUUUCGGAGGUACUCGAGUGGCGAACGGGUGAGUAACACGUGGGUGAUCUGCCCUGCCCUCUGGGAUAAGCCUGGGAAACUGGGUCUAAUACCGGAUAGGACCGCACUUUAGUGUGUGUGGUGGAAAGUUUUUUCGGUGAAGGAUGAGCCCGCGGCCUAUCAGCUUGUUGGUGGGGUAAUGGCCUACCAAGGCGGCGACGGGUAGCCGGACUGGGAGGUUGGUCGGCCACAUUGGGACCGAGAUACGGCCCAGACUCCUACGGGAGGCAGGGGGGGGGAAUAUUGCACAAUGGGCGCGAGCCUGAUGCAGCGACGCCGCGGGGGGGAGGACGGCCUUCGGGUUGGAAACUCCUUUCGCCAGGGACGAAGCGGUUUGUGACGGUACCUGGAGAAGAAGCACCGGCUAACUACGUG
Molecule: ribosomal RNA, 463 nt
Filed under: uncultured bacterium
Lineage: Bacteria
Description: partial 16S ribosomal RNA
Rfam family: Bacterial small subunit ribosomal RNA
Source: RNAcentral